CAUUUCUUAUAGACAAAUAAUUAUAAGUAGUCCCUGCUCAAUGAAAUAUUAAAUAGCUGCAUUUUGUACUAAGGUAGCAUAAUAACUUGCCUUCUAAUUAAAGGAUAGAAUGAAUGGGUUAACGCAGAAAUAGCUGUCUCUACUCUACCAAUAAAACUUAAUCUAAAGGUGAAAAAGCCUUUAUAAAAUAAAAAGACAAAAAGACCCUAUCGAGCUUUUAUCUAAUGUAAUAAACAAAUAGAUUUUUGUUGGGGCAACAUGAAUUCUAUACGCCAAUUCAAACAUACACAAAUAUCAUUAAAUUUCAUUGAAUUUUUUCAAGUUACCGUAGGGAUAACAGACUUAUCUUUCUAAAGAGUCCUAAUCGAUAGAAAAGUUUGGCACCUCGAUGUUGGCUUAUAAUUUCUAAUUGGGGCAACCCCCAAUUAAGUUGGUUUGUUCAACCAUUAAAAUUUUACGUGAUCUGA
This 467-nucleotide ribosomal RNA is filed under the name Asteriomyzostomum hercules. RNAcentral's name for it is "partial 16S ribosomal RNA". It matches the Rfam family "Bacterial large subunit ribosomal RNA", at positions 1827 to 2608 of the family's 2925-position model. The record is from RNAcentral. Lineage: Eukaryota; Metazoa; Annelida; Myzostomida; Asteriomyzostomidae.